GUUGUUGGGUAGGGGAGCGUUCUGUAAGCCUGCGAAGGUGGCCUGUGAGGGUUGCUGGAGGUAUCAGAAGUGCGAAUGCUGACAUAAGUAACGAUAAAGCGGGUGAAAAGCCCGCUCGCCGGAAGACCAAGGGUUCCUGUCCAACGUUAAUCGGGGCAGGGUGAGUCGACCCCUAAGGCGAGGCCGAAAGGCGUAGUCGAUGGGAAACGGGUUAAUAUUCCCGUACUUGGUGUUACUGCGAAGGGGGGACGGAGAAGGCUAUGUUGGCCGGGCGACGGUUGUCCCGGUUUAAGCGUGUAGGUGUGUGUUCCAGGUAAAUCCGGUUCACUUUAACACUGAGGCGUGACGACGAGGCACUACGGUGCUGAAGCAACAAAUGCCCUGCUUCCAGGAAAAGCCUCUAAGCAUCAGGUAACAUCAAAUCGUACCCCAAACCGACACAGGUGGUCAGGUAGAGAAUACCAAGGCGCUUGAGAGAACUCGGGUGAAGGAACUAGGCAAAAUGGUGCCGUAACUUCGGGAGAAGGCACGCUGACACGUAGGUGAAGUGAUUUACUCAUGGAGCUGAAGUCAGUCGAAGAUACCAGCUGGCUGCAACUGUUUAUUAAAAACACAGCACUGUGCAAACACGAAAGUGGACGUAUACGGUGUGACGCCUGCCCGGUGCCGGAAGGUUAAUUGAUGGGGUCAGCGCAAGCGAAGCUCCUGAUCGAAGCCCCGGUAAACGGCGGCCGUAACUAUAACGGUCCUAAGGUAGCGAAAUUCCUUGUCGGGUAAGUUCCGACCUGCACGAAUGGCGUAAUGAUGGCCAGGCUGUCUCCACCCGAGACUCAGUGAAAUUGAACUCGCUGUGAAGAUGCAGUGUACCCGCGGCAAGACGGAAAGACCCCGUGAACCUUUACUAUAGCUUGACACUGAACAUUGAGCCUUGAUGUGUAGGAUAGGUGGGAGGCUUUGAAGUGUGGACGCCAGUCUGCAUGGAGCCGACCUUGAAAUACCACCCUUUAAUGUUUGAUGUUCUAACGUGGACCCGUUACCCGGGUUGCGGACAGUGUCUGGUGGGUAGUUUGACUGGGGCGGUCUCCUCCUAAAGAGUAACGGAGGAGCACGAAGGUUGGCUAAUCCUGGUCGGACAUCAGGAGGUUAGUGCAAUGGCAUAAGCCAGCUUGACUGCGAGCGUGACGGCGCGAGCAGGUGCGAAAGCAGGUCAUAGUGAUCCGGUGGUUCUGAAUGGAAGGGCCAUCGCUCAACGGAUAAAAGGUACUCCGGGGAUAACAGGCUGAUACCGCCCAAGAGUUCAUAUCGACGGCGGUGUUUGGCACCUCGAUGUCGGCUCAUCACAUCCUGGGGCUGAAGUAGGUCCCAAGGGUAUGGCUGUUCGCCAUUUAAAGUGGUACGCGAGCUGGGUUUAGAACGUCGUGAGACAGUUCGGUCCCUAUCUGCCGUGGGCGCUGGAGAACUGAGGGGGGCUGCUCCUAGUACGAGAGGACCGGAGUGGACGCAUCACUGGUGUUCGGGUUGUCAUGCCAAUGGCACUGCCCGGUAGCUAAAUGCGGAAGAGAUAAGUGCUGAAAGCAUCUAAGCACGAAACUUGCCCCGAGAUGAGUUCUCCCUGAGACUUAGAGUCUCCUGAAGGAACGUUGAAGACGACGACGUUGAUAGGCCGGGUGUGUAAGCGCAGCGAUGCGUUGAGCUAACCGGUACUAAUGAACCGUGAGGCUUAACCUUACAACGCCGAAG
RNAcentral lists this ribosomal RNA (1740 nucleotides) under Salmonella enterica. RNAcentral's name for it is "partial 23S ribosomal RNA". It matches the Rfam family "Bacterial large subunit ribosomal RNA", at positions 1220 to 2925 of the family's 2925-position model. The record is from RNAcentral. Lineage: Bacteria; Pseudomonadati; Pseudomonadota; Gammaproteobacteria; Enterobacterales; Enterobacteriaceae.